UUUCCUCAAACCUUACAACAAUUUUUCGUAUCUCACUCAAUAUUCAAUCCCUCCUGAUCAGAAACAAGAAGUUGUCUCUUCAAUGACUCCGUUCUAAAAAGGAGGAAAGCUAUAAAAGCUAUUACCAUACAUUUUUCGUUGUCGGGGAUGCAAUUGGAAGCUCCAAUCCAGGGCCUCAAUUCCACUUUGAGUAGGGGUAUCCAACUAUUUGUAUCCAUUCGCAAGGAGUGAGAUGAGCUGAAUGAAGACCAGAGAAAUUGGCGGGGGAGAUAUUAAUCGGAAAGAAUUAUAUUGAUUGGGUUAGU
This 305-nucleotide long non-coding RNA is filed under the name Cucumis sativus (cucumber). Its description in RNAcentral is "long non-coding RNA (CSAT_LNC002642)". The record is from RNAcentral. Lineage: Eukaryota; Viridiplantae; Streptophyta; Magnoliopsida; Cucurbitales; Cucurbitaceae.